CUUCCAUGUCUGAGGGGAUCAAGCAGCUCUUGAAAGAUAUGUUAGCUGCUAACCCACAGGACCGGCCUGAUGCCUUUGAACUUGAAACCAGAAUGGACCAGGUCACAUGUGCUGCUUAAAAUUCAGGGCAAAGCAUCUUGAGUGUUUUUAACUAGGUUGAUCCUCGGGACCCGUAGUCUCAUCGUGUCUCACCCAGAGGACAGCAGAGUGUGUAGGCGGUGGCUUGGUCGGUUGGCGAUCUCCCAACAGCUGGAUCUCCGGCAAUGUGAAGCUUUCAUUUGGGAUUUCCCCCCUCCUUUUAGUUUUGCUUCAUUUUUUUUUUAAUCUUAUUUUUUGUCCUUUUUUCCCUUUUUUUUUUUUUUUUUUUAAUUUAAGCGAUUAAGACUUCAGAAGAGCAAGAAACUAUUCUGUGGAGAAACAACACAGACAAAGCAUAUGUAUAAAUUCCAUUUUUAAUUUUUAUAAGGGGUUAGGGAGCUAUUUUGUUUUGUUCCUUUAUUUUCCCCCUGUCUUCUUGGUUUUUACCCAUUCCUCGGUUCUGUUUCCAAUCCCUCGCAUCCCCAGAGGAGGCCUGCCUCUCUAUGGAGACCGGGGGUCAGUCCUACCGUGGGGGUGUGAAGCCAGGAGGCAGCCUGUGGGCCUCCCCCCCCCACCCUAUCCCCCACCAGACGCGGGCACUGCCGGGCUGUUCCAUGCUCGCCCUCAGGCCUUAGAGAUGAUCAGAGGCGAAGAACCAUCUAGAAGAGGAAGACCGGGUUUGGCCAGGAGAACUCAAAGUCUAAACUGUGGGUUUGCUCUCUUUCCGGCUUCUGGAAGCUCUGGGCCACACCAGGACACGCAGUGGUGGACAUCCACUCCCUCUUCUGCCCCUUGGGCUGCUGUCUCUUCGAACAGAUGGGAAAAACAGUUCCCAAACUCGACCACAGCCCUCCCUGCCUGCAACCUCCCCUCAAGUCCCCAGUGAAGGCUCGGGACUAACAAGCCUUCCUGCCCCUGGACAUUCCCCGCCUCGACCAUUCCCUUCCUCCAAGGUUCUCUGCUCCUUGACCUAUCAGCUGGCUCCUAGAAAACCAGUAUUUGGAGCAAUAAGAUUAUUUUUGCCUGAGUCUUUCUAAGAAAAGGUAAAGAGCUGGCGUGAUAGGAAUGUUCUUUUCCGUGCUGUCGCAGUUUACCGUUUUAGAAGACAGAUCUUUGUAGGACAGAUGCCUGAGUUUCAGCCUCAGAGUAUCUUUUGGAAACUUGGAACAGCAGGAGUUGGGCCUCCACCCCCUAAGGAGGGGACCCUAACUCUCUGCCCGCACCUUGCCCCACACUGCCAGGGCUUCCGGGCCUGCCCUGGAAGUGCGCCUCUCGCCUUUGAUCCUGCCUGCACGCCCCCCCCCACACACACACUUCCGGGGGCUCCUGGGUGAUUGCUCCCACCAAUUCCUUUCCCCUUCCUUGGCCUGGCCCGUGGCCCCAGACAGGCACAGCCCUACUGGAGUUAUCUAGGAGCUGGCAGCCUGAGCACGGCCAAGCUCGGGGCUGCGCCUUGGGGACACCAGGCCCAUCUCUGAUCCUGCCCGCGGGGCUUGGGGGCAGGGACUCGACUCCUGUCCGGAGAGAGAACCUCAGAAGGGAAAGCAAGAGGUGGGACGUGAGGGUCGGCCAACGUAAGCCCCCACAGCCACCGUAGAGAAGUGAACCCACUUCCAUCAGCUGCCAGGAGGUUCCUACGUCGUUUUCCAUGAGAGGCCGCAAGAGGAAGGGAGCUUAGCCUGUUCAGGAACAUUUUAAAGAAAGCCUUUGUGCCCCAGGGGCCUCUCUCAGACGAUUUCACGUUCUUGCGGGGCCGACGUGGGUGAGGGAGGCACGACGUAGCCCAGGCACAAAGUUAGCUUCGAAUACUAGUUGAUAAAUCUAUUUUUCUUUAUUUUCUUGUUUUGCACAGAAGCUGGUAAUCUAGGACCUACGUGUGAACAACUUUAUAUGACUAUUUUUUGUACUUGGUUUACUUGGGUUGGUAUGAUACAUUAUAUUUAAGUUCCUCGAACACUGUGCAUCCCCCAAUGUGUAUGAAUGACUGAGGCUUUGUAAAUUAAGGGAUGUUUGUGUGAAUAAAGUUAUUUGAUGGGGUCAAAGAAGCCAUAAGUGAUUUGGAAACAAGUGCUUUGUGGUUUUGUCAUCACCUGUUCACGGGGAAGGGAGAGGCCAGUCAGUGGGGCAGCCUCCCCAGGCAAGAGGGGGAUGGCUGGCACCAGACAAGGGGACCUUGGCCCCUGGGUGAGAAAUCUACCUGGUGGUCUUUGAGUGAGCUUCCCACCCCACCCUGCGAGCAGGCCCUCAGAAGGAGGAACCUGCCCUGGGGGAUGGGAGUCCCCCCCCCCCCCACUGGCUGGCCCGCCACAAGCUUUCUAGAGCAUUCCAGGCCCGUGGCCAGCGUUGCCAGGCACUCAAAGGCCCUUCCUUCCAGCCCCAGCACUGCUUCCGAAAAGUUCUGCCCUC
Molecule: long non-coding RNA, 2484 nt
Filed under: Suricata suricatta (meerkat)
Lineage: Eukaryota; Metazoa; Chordata; Mammalia; Carnivora; Herpestidae
Description: lncRNA (ENSSSUG00005014700.1)
Source: RNAcentral